This 253-nucleotide ribosomal RNA is filed under the name uncultured bacterium. RNAcentral describes it as "partial 16S ribosomal RNA". It matches the Rfam family "Bacterial small subunit ribosomal RNA", at positions 524 to 776 of the family's 1533-position model. The record is from RNAcentral.
UACGUAGGGUGCGAGCGUUGUCCGGAAUUAUUGGGCGUAAAGAGCUCGUAGGCGGCUUGUCGCGUCGGAUGUGAAAGCCCGGGGCUUAACUCCGGGUCUGCAUUCGAUACGGGCAGGCUAGAGUUCGGUAGAGGAGAUCGGAAUUCCUGGUGUAGCGGUGAAAUGCGCAGAUAUCAGGAGGAACACCGGUGGCGAAGGCGGAUCUCUGGGCCGAUACUGACGCUGAGGAGCGAAAGCGUGGGGAGCGAACAGG